GCGAAAGCUCUGUGUAUUGUUUGAGGAGCGCGCGAAUUUUUAGGUGUUCGGCAGUCGUCGUGUGAUCCCGGCGAAAAUUCCGGCAUCAUGUCUAGAGACUCCGUAAGGAAAGCAGACAAGAAAGG
This is a long non-coding RNA of Ornithodoros turicata, 125 nucleotides long. RefSeq lists it as uncharacterized. Lineage: Eukaryota; Metazoa; Arthropoda; Arachnida; Ixodida; Argasidae. The transcript is spliced from 3 exons. The record is from RefSeq and is a predicted model, not a curated record.